This 399-nucleotide ribosomal RNA is filed under the name bacterium enrichment culture clone ALO1_GLFRUDD03F1BBG. RNAcentral's name for it is "bacterial SSU rRNA". It matches the Rfam family "Bacterial small subunit ribosomal RNA", at positions 9 to 407 of the family's 1533-position model. The record is from RNAcentral.
GAGUUUGAUCGUGGCUCAGAUUGAACGCUGGCGGCAAUGCCUUACACAUGACAAGUCGAACGGCGAGCACGGGAGCUUGCUCCUGGUGGCGAGUGGCGAACGGGUGAGUAAUGCAUCGGAACGUAUCCUGGAGUGGGGGAUAACGUAGCGAAAGUUACGCUAAUACCGCAUAUUCUGUGAGCAGGAAAGCGGGGGACCUUCGGGCCUCGCGCUCUUGGAGCGGCCGAUGUCGGAUUAGCUAGUUGGUGAGGUAAAGGCUCACCAAGGCGACGAUCCGUAGCAGGUCUGAGAGGAUGAUCUGCCACACUGGAACUGAGACACGGUCCAGACUCCUACGGGAGGCAGCAGUGGGAAUUUUGGACAAUGGGGCAACCCUGAUCCAGCCAUGCCGCGUGAGUG